UCCUCUGUUCUCCCUACAAAGGGACAAGGUUUUCCUUCUUAGGUGAAUACUGCAUGCGCCACUUGCCAUAGAAAGGGUGCAGUCUUGGCAAGCCUUUUAUUAGUCUAAAAAUAAAUUAUUCACAAUGCAGGUUCAGAUACAGAUUGCAAGGAGAGAUAAUAGAAUUGGUUUUCCAAGCCUGAUCAUGCUCGGAAGACAUGGUAUGUGCUUUUCAGGAAUCCACUUCAACAGAAUCAACUUUGACGAGUACACACAAGAAAUAAUAUUGCUGCCAUCCAGCUUGUGUCUGCGGUACAGCAUCCUCUGCUUGUCUUCAAGUACCCACGGUGCCUCUUCAUCAGUGUGCAUAUGGAAAAGUCCACGUUUCUCAAGCAUUUCUUCUGAGAUGCCGCCCUCCCAUUGUUCUUUUAAGGAAAUUUCUUUCUGGCAGCGUGAGAGGGGCACUGCCUCCUACCCCCCUUCUGCCUCAGCAGAACAGUUGACCACAGCAGCAGCCGACUCCGGCUCGUCAUGUGCUUUCUCAUGUGAUGUAGGUCUGCGGCACUGUGGAGCAAUCGCAUUUGAGACUCGGCACUCGUGGACAGACGGGCGUUCAGGGACUGGGGAGUUUUUGGAGGGGGUGGGGAGGCCAAUAAACCAAGAAAACGUCAGAAAUAAAAGUCGCAUCAAGUAUGCUGAUCUCUGUAUUCCUAUUUUUGUUUUGAAAUUUGAUUUUAGCUAUUGUUUUUUCUGGUUGUAUCUGUGUUUUUUCCACCCCUACAGGCGCCGAGCUGCGCUGUUGUUUUUUUUUUCUUUCUUUUCGAUUUUUUCUUUUUCUUUUUUUCCCCCGAAAUUCUGAAGCCAGACUGUCUCCUUCACAGCUCCAGGGCUGCACCACUGUGGGCACAUCAAGCUUCGUCCGGCUCACCUGCAUGGUUCCGGCUGACUCCCGCCUGAGAUGGCCCAUCGUACAACUAGAAUCCCAGAAUCUCCUGUCUGCACCCUGCGGAAGGACCUACUGCAAUCCCUGGCCAGGGUCUCUCACAGCCGGAUGGGGUCUUGGAAGACAGGGUGAAGUUGCAGAAGAUUGGGGUGGGAUGCUAGAGGCAUGUGGAGGACUUGGAAAGGGAAUUUAGGAAUACUAUACAUCAGUGCCCACCGAUGCUAUGCAUACAGGGGAGGGCAGCCACAGCCCCUGCCUCAUGUGCCUAACUCCGGCUGCUCUCUGGGAUUAGUCUGAGGGGGACAACCCAGGUCUGGAUGUGGUGGCAUUUUCCCAGAGAAUGGAACUGAAGAUGGAUGAACCAGGUACUUGCUGUGUCUGCCUGACAGGGCAGAGCUGGAGAAAUGGAAAGGGAGCAGAAGAGCUGCUGAGUGUCCUGAGAUUGUCUGCUGCCCUCUCUGCAGUCUUAGUCUAAGGAAGGAUGGCAUAAUGGAUCUGCCAGUACAUGCAUGGAGGACCUGUAAAUUGCAAUGUGGAUGUCCCUGGUACUGUCAAGGAAGAAACUGAUGGGCUGGGUGACAAUACAGUGUCCCAGAGAAAAUAGCAGUCUUGCAGCAUGGAUUUAAGUGCAUGUGCAUGCGUGUGGAGACAUGGAAGAGACUGUGUCACACCACACACACACACACACACACACACACACACACACACACGAGAGAGAGAGAGAGAGAGAGAGAGAGAGAGAGAGAGAGAGAGAGAGAGAGAGAGAGAUUGGCUGGGUCGGGUUUGAUUUCAGAUUUCACAGAUUUCACUCCUGCUCAAGACCUAUUUCCUGGCUAGCCAGAAAACUUGGGCAGAGCAGCUGCAUAUAGACUUUUCUUUGAAACGGCAGAGCAAGCCCCUUCAGUUUUAACUCCUUGAGGUUCUAAGUGCUCUGCAUUGGGCUAAGACUCACUGUACGGUUUUGUUUUCUUCUUCUACAGAGCCCUGUAAACACAGCUGUAUUCAGUAUGGCGGAAAAAUUCUGUCCUCUAAAUAGAAAUGCGAUCAAUUUAAUCAAAAUAAAUGUAUCCCAGAUGACUUUGAGGCCAGCUGGAUACCACAGGCUUCAGAAGCUAAGCGUUCAGUGGAGAUGAAUACAGUGUUAGAUUUACAUGCUUUUGAAUGCUAGGAUCAGCUAUGCUUAAUAAAGGAAAUUCUUUAAGGAAAAGGGAGGGUUCUCCUGGCUCCCAGCUAGAUGGUAAUCACAGGUGCUGCUGCUGAUCCUGGCACUGGGUUUUGUAGCUGUCAAGCUUGCAGGGGUGUGUGGCAUGAGGCAGGGCAAGACUGAUGUCAGUGUAAAGCAAGCUUCCAGCCUGCUUGAGGCUGUAGGAGGAGGGCGGCCUCUCCAUAGCCUCGGUUGGGGCUUGGCGGAUACUAGAAGCUUGUAGAUCAAUAUGAGUGAGCUGGGUGAAGUGAUCUCUGAGCUGGGAGCAAGCAGCUUUCCCAGUUGUCAUGGGGGCUCCUCUGGGACGCCUGUCUGGCCUGUCCACCCACUGUUCGUUAGGAAAUCUACAGAGCCGCUCUGUGUGCUGGAUUAUGUUUGGCCAGCUGUUGGUGCAUUCCUGAGGGUGGGGGUGGAGACAGGAUCUUAUUACUGUACUUCCAAACUGUAGAUCUAUGUGGAGAGAGAGAAAGAGAGAGAGAGAGAGAGAGAGAGAGAGAGAGAGAGAGAGAGAGAGAGAGAGGGCUGUGAUGGUGAGAGGAAAGAAACCCAAGCAAGUCUGAUAAUAUCCCUUCUCCAGGUUGUGCUAGAGGGACUUCAGAAAGGCUAUGAAGGGAGAGAAAGGAGAUGGUAAGGGAUGGGAGCAUGGUGAAAGAGCCCUGAGACAAAGCAGGACUUCAAAGCUGCAGAGACGAGCAGAAUGUCAGCAGCUUGUAAUUAGCGGUUCAUGGUUGCGUCAGAGACUGUAUCUCUCCAAGAAUAACUGUGUGCUGUAUGCCACAGAGUGCAGAAGACAGUCAUAACUAAGUUACCAAGCACAGUUCAAACAAGGGCAGAUGAAGGCAUUUUUCUGUUUGAAAAUUAAGCGCAGCUAGGGUGCACAUCUCACCGGCUGGAUUCUGCCUAACUUCUAGCAGAAUGCUCAGCGUAUCGGAGAGUGUUUGUGAGAUCAAACAGGGAACCUGUAAGCAAGCAGACUAAGUAUGCAAGCUCUGUCACUGUAGGAUACCGUCCCAAACAGCCCCACACUGCACUGCUGGGCUCCUGUCUCGGUAUCUACCCUUCACUUCUGUAUGUCAAUGGAGGAAAAUUAAAAGUACCCUCAAGUACAAAUGUCCCUGUUAGAUUCUAAAAUUUCUAACAUAGAAUUAAAAUUUUACUGCAGGUUCUGAGCUGUUUUGGUAUGCUUAAUUUAUACAUCGAAGAAGCCUUUGUUGUGAUUAUCUUGCUACGGAUUCUGUGGGGAAGCAUCAUACCACUGUAUGAUGUUGAAGGGCACCUUCCCUUCCGCCCCCAGUCUCUCUGGUGUCGGGAGUUCCAGCAUUCUCUGCAGCCUCCCUGAGGAGCUGGUGGGAGGAGCUGGUGGGAGGAGCUGAUUGGCUAGCGGGCUCAGCGUGUUUACUCUUAUUUGUUUUAGUGCUCCUUCACGGUGUGCACUGACUAUUUGUAUUUGUGUUCAUGCUGCACAAUUACUACUGACCAGCUUUGUUUCUCUGCCCAAAGUGAAGUCAAUUUUAGUUCAGCCCCUGCAGUUGAGUCCCUGGGCAAUGGGCACAUAUGUAUUAUGUUACCCAUGUAUGCAAUUUCCUUUAAAAAAAACAACGUGGAUUAGGGAAAACUCUAGGCAAGGAGAGCCGUGUGUAUCAAAUCAAUAGCUUUUUGAAUCACAUGUAAUAUAAUUUAAAUAUACUCACUUCAAGGUUGCCAAAGCCUACGUUGUCUGAGCCCAGUUAAUUUACAUCUUCGAUUUAGUCAAGGAGUGGAACCUGCCAGAUCAGAAUGCUGUAUUCUGGGCACCCAACAGGGUGGAAGACAUUAUUUUGUUUGUGUUAGUUCAAACAGCUGGUCAUUAAUGCAGUCUCCAUUUCGAGAGUGAAACGCUGGUGGACAUGAAUGGCUGUCUGAUUAAUGCUGCCCCUCCCCUCGGAGGGUCCUUCACCCAGCCAUGCCGGUGCAGAAUAAUGUAGCAUGAUGUGAUUGCACUCUAACAGGAUAGUAUGUCAUUGUGUCACCAAGCAAUUGAGGUUAUUAUGGGGCAGGGCAGACAGACGGGACAGUGGGGUUACUAGACCGUAGCAUUUUUAGAAAUACAGGCCUGACCUACUUAGAGUUAUUCUGGCAGGCAGCUGCACGGUACAUAAAGUCUCCUGAUAGGCUGAGGCUGUUGCUAGGGGGAAUUAGCAUGAAUUUUUCCACACAGAGACUCAGCGACUGAAUGAUAAAAGCUGACUGGAAUUAAAGAGAUUUGGUUUAGCAUUGUACAGAUUGAUCUGCCUAAGUUUUUUUUUUUUUCUUUCUCAAGUGCAGACAAAGAGUGCAAAAAAAUAGAGAUUUUUGUUUGUUUGUUUCUAUUUGUUCUUUGACCUUUUCCUACUCUUCCUUCUGCCCUUCACCCCCAAGAACCAGGAGAGUAGAGGAGCAGAGCAGUUAUGAAAUUUUGGUUAAUCUCUUACUGUUGGGUUCACUGAAACCAUGUUGCAAAUGGCAAGAUGUUGAAACUUCACGACUGCUGGGCAAGCCUAGAGAAGGGCAGAUGGUUUUUUUGGUCCCCUGUGUAGCAAGCUGUUUUGGAGUUGGGCAUGCGUCUUUUAUACACGGUAUAUUUUAUACACCCUUUCCCUUUUGGGCUUGAACAAAACAUUUACAUAAAUUCUUUUCUAUCCAAACAGAUUGAAGCUUGCAAUUGCUGGCUUGUUUAAAAUAAGAUAGACAAGAUUCCAGAUUUAGUAUAUAUAUAAUAUAUUACAUAAUAUAUCACAUAUUAUAUAUAUAUACCAUUUUUAUUACAAAAAUAUUUUUUUUCUGGGCUACCUUUGUCUUUUGAUGUUUAUGCUCAGGGAAAAAAUUUACCCCACCCUUUUUUGUUCCCCAGUGUACAAAAAAAGCACUGUUUUGUUUGUUCGUUUUUUUUGUUUUGUUUUAUUUUGCUUUGCUUUUUUUCUUUGCAGAAGAAAGUGUAGCUGUAGAACCCAGUCUGGAGACUGUUUUUCCAUGUUGCUGACAUGGGCACUGAGUGGGGAGAAAGCUCACAUAAUCAAUUUUACAACAUGACCCACUUUCCCUCCCCAGUGUUCCCAAGUGUCUGCAGUUUUAAUAGAUCUUUACAAGAAGAGGGUUUUUAAUAGAUCAUUGUAAAAUAAUCUGAAAGUCCAUCAAGAGAAAAAUUAAAGCAAUGUGUAUUCAAGAAUACUUUGCAUUUUUUUCUCGUCUUAAUUAUAUGCUAUCUGUGGUGUUUGUGCUGACAGUAGUGAUUAUCGUGUUAUUUUUAUUUGAAAUUAAUUUUGGUAAGAAAGUACUAUGAGUUCAUAAGUAAACAAGGAGCUGAGGUACAUAAGUACUGGAAAGGAGAAAAACAGUGCUCAGCCUGCUUUGCUGGAUUUCUUGCCCAUGCAUAAAGAGGCAAGAGGGUAUUUAUUUGUGGAUGUUUUUCCAUUUAGGUUUAAAAAGUAUUCAGAACCAUGUAUAUACAGACAUUGUAGUGAAAACAAACCAAAAAUGAUUUAGUAGUAUCUAAUCCAGAAAGCCAUUGAGCAUCCUCUUUAAAAAACAAACAAACAAACAAACAAAACAACAACAUCAAAAAAACCCAAAACCUAUUGAGUGCUGUUUCCAGUUUAGAAUUUUAGCAUGUAAAGACACCUUAGUAAAGAGAAUGUUGUGGGGAUGAAUUGUGCCCUUGCUAGCUAGGAGAGUCCCCACGAUAGCAUUAAUCAUGAGGCGCUCCAAACGUUAAACCAUCUUUCAUAAUUGAAUAGACAGUCAAUUUAUUUUUAUGAAUAUAUAAUAUCCUUGUGUGCUCUUCCUUACAAAGUGAUACAUUUAUUUUCAAAAUUAUUUUAUCAAAUGAAUAUUUUUGGCCUCUCUUCUAUCAUAAGCCACUUUGCUUAAGUUGGUGUAAAGUUGGUUAAAUAUUUAAGUGCAAGGAUAUAGAAAUGAAAUUUCAAAUUUAAAACUCCUAAAGAAGGACAUAUUUUAAAUUAAUGCUCUUUAAUAGACAGAUGCCUAAUUUAUGGAAUCUACAGCCUGUGUCCAGGCAUGUAUCAUACUCACAGUAAAUGUUUGUUGUUUAAUGAAAAAUGAAUUGGCCAUAUUGAAUUGCUCAGUAGAAUCUUGCUUGGAUGUUGAAGUUAUUAAUUUUUUUCCUUACUUCGGUCUUCAACCAUUACUAAAGAGGUAAGCAUUCGGUGUGCCAACAAAAACAAAGAGAACAUAGUUUUGAAUGUAAUUUAUGCUUAUUUAACUUAGGUUAAACGUAACUCCCAACAUUCACUUAGUGCAUGUCGAUCGUACUUGCUUCAUCCACUGCCAUUGAUCAGACAGCCAAAGGAACAAGCACCCGCACUCAUUACAUUGAUUAUUUAUUAGGUGAGCAUUUCUUUCUGCUCACACAUGAAGCUAGCUUUUCCAGUUAUAAGGAUCAGCAUAAAGCAGUGAAGUUUGGGGGAACUAGAGAGUUGGUUGUUGGGGUCACUGAGUUCAGUUAGGAUCCAAGUAAAAUAUCUCUCUCAAAUGUCCUGUCCAAACUCUGAUGUCGCCUAAACCAUGGAGCUUGGAAAAAGGCCUGGUGGCUUUGCUUCCUAGUGCUUAGAGGUAAUCAGCCUUUCUGAUCUCACCAAGCAGCUAUUGCUCUUUCAAACCAUCUCAACAAUGUUGAAAAACCAACAGUAAGUCAGACUUUGGGAGGUCAUUACUAGCAUACAGUAGCCCAGAGAUUUUCAGCAUCAUUAUUUAAAUAAUUAGUAGCAUUUCAAUGAUCUUUAAGUGCCCAAACUGUGCUAGCUGAGAUGCUGUCUGCCCCUUAGCCUGAAACUGACUUGUCUUCCUUUUUACUGCUUUCUCUUCUUAGUACAGCAUCACAUGCCAUUAAGUUCUCCCAAAUCUCUCAUCCUUCUUUUGUCCAAGUGCUAGGUGCAGAGAAGUUGGUUGGUUGAUGGAUGAGCAGACUAAUGAUUAUCUAGUUAGUUAAAAAUGAAUACAUUUAUGGCUAUUCAGAAGGAAAAAAUCAUAAAUGUAUUAUACAGUUGGCCAUAUGUGGACUUAUUUAGUGAUAAAGAUCCAAGUAGUUAGGUUUUAUGGGCUCCCUGAUCUCUGUGCAAUUACUCAACUUGCCUGAUAUAGCUAAAAGGCAGUAAUAGACAGUAUAUAAGCAAAGGAGUCUGACUGCCUUUAAAUAAACUUUAUUUAUAGAUGCAAGCAAUUGGCCAGAAUUGGCCUAUGUACUAUAGACACAGGUAUAUUGUUAUCUAUGGUAGAUUAAAGAUAUGACUAAGCAUGACAUACAUACUCCUUAAUAUAUUUUUUCCUUUUUUCUUUCUUUAGUUUAUUGUAGCUAUCUUCAGCUACAACAGAAGAGGGCAUCAGAUCCCAUUACAGAUGGUUAUGAGCCACCAUGUGGUUACUGAGAGUUGAACUCCGGACAUCUGGAAGAGCAGUCAGUGAUCUUACCCUUUGAGCCAUCUCUCCAACCUCUCCUCACUAUUCAUCCAUCCUAUAAUAGACACAUGGAGGCCCUGCUUUAUCUGACUUUCCAGGCCAUAGUCAUUAAAGUUCACAGCACAGAGGCCCCUUGGUUUCGGGGUCCAGUUACAAGCAUGAAGAAAGCCAGUAUUGUUUUGCAAGAAUGACUGCUGGCACCUUUAACGUUACUGUGUUCUCAGAGUAAAAGGUAUGUGUAGAUUUGCAAUGUUUUAAUUUUAAGGGCUCUUUUUACACCUGCUUAUUGGAAGAGCAUUCCACAGAGCUUUGCAUGUCCUGUUGUUUCAGCAGAAAACACAGUAGUAGCUGGAGUGCUAUGUGGUGAUCAUUAAUCUUUACUAGAGUCAGUGGACUCUUAAUUAAGGAGGUAUGAAGCUGUGUGUUUUUUCUUUCAUCCUUAUAACAAGCACAAAUCUUAAGACAAAGGAGCCUCAUAAUAAAAUAUUGAUAAUUUACAAACAAUUCAAAAGAGGGAGAGCAAGCAGUUUUGAGUGAGUGCCUUCUCUUGACCUGUACUCCAGCACAUUAGGAUUAGGGCUGGAGGUCAGUGGUCCUGGUGAGUACUCAUUGAGGCAAACAGGACCCACUGCAUUUCCAGACCUCCCUUUGGAAUUCCUCUCAAGCACCUGUACAGAUAGAAUGGCAGGUGUGGUAGAGGCCUAUCCUUUCAUAGCAUCUCUAAUUUUAAAAUCAGUUAUUUGAUACUGCAAGCUUGAGUUUCUUGUAUUAUGUACCCAAUCCAUAAAAGGAGAAGCAACUCCAUUCACUUAAAACCUGGCUACAACACUAUAAGAUCCUUAAAAAAAUUAGUGUUUUCAAAGGUAUCAGAGCUCAGUAGGUGUUGCAGUACCCAAGUAAAUACUCAAAUUGAUCCCGGCAGUAGUGGCAUUCCUCACUACCCACCCCAAUGUUCUGGGUUCCUGAAUGAAACACACACACUACACACACACACACACACACACACACACACACACACACACGCACUUUAUAUUUUGAUAUGCUUAAAUCAGCUCCAUGGAUCACUUCCUUACCUCCAUGUUCUUAAUCCACCUCCCUCUGAUAUUCUCAAGUUAUUACUUAUUAAAAUCUAUACUCCAUCUUUGCUGCCCUGGACCCACUCAGACAGUCCUCUUGGGGGCACUCUCCCCAUGCUCCUACAUAGUGGCUAUGCUCUCUGUCCUACACUUUUUCAAGCACGGCAUCUCUCCUUUCCUUCUCCGGGUAUGGUGGCUCUCCUUCUUCUCUUCUCCCUCUUUGUCCCUGGCCCAGGAAUCCUCUAGCCCUGUUUGCCCUGCCCAGUCAUUGGCUAUUGGCAGGUUUAUUUACCAGUCAGCAUGUCCCUCAGUGUCUUACUUGGGGACAUGUGGAUUCUCAUGCAAACAGUUUUGGGGACCCAAAUUAGCAUAAUACAAGCAGCGUUAGAUCAGUACAGGUAGGACUCUUGGUCGCCUUCGGAUAUCAUAAACUCCAGCCCUCGCAUGGGGACAUUUAUAUCAAUUUCUGCUCAGAUAUUGCUGGGCCCUGUUUCUGAAGUUCAUGGUGUCUUACCUUCCAACUCUUCACAAUGGCAAUAGACUGUGCAUUUUGGAAGUCUCUGACAGAUCUGGCCAGCAACUCGAAUGAGAGUUUCUCAUCUUCGUUAUUGGGGUUUUGUUAGUUGGUCUUUGGCUCUUGGAGAGAAGUCUAUCAGGCAAGAUUAGAAAAGUCCAUUAAAACUAUAUGUGUAUAUUUAUAGACAUGCCAAAUUAAACAGAGAAAGGACCAUGAGGCCUCAACCCUACAUAAAGAACUAUAGCCAAUUCAGCAGGCUGAGAACAGAAGUGGUCUUCCUUAGGAAGAGCAUAUCAACUGGUUGUCCAUGCCAUGAAAACAUACAUACAAGGAAAAUUAUGCAGACUGAACAGGCUAUGUUUAGAAAUACAUAUGUAUAGACUUAUAAGCAUGGAAUUAGGAUAUAAAGAGGUCACGAAUUUUAAGGAGAAUGGAGAGGGGUAUGAGCAAGUAUUUGGAGGAAAGAAAAGGAAAGGAUAAAUGAAAUUACAUUAUAAUCUCUAAAUGCAUGCAUGCAUGCAUGCACGCGCGUGCACGCGCACACACACACACACAGACACACAUAAAAUGGCAUAAAAUGUCCACAUUGCCUCUGCUUUCUGGCCAUUCCAUACUUAUGUAGAUAGCAUACAAACAAUUGCUAUGCUCUUCCCUGCAGAAGAUCAUCUUUCCCAUUCCCAGCAUUCUUCGGUUGGCUAUAGUUCUUUGGAGUUUCUUGGAUUUGCCUAACCAACAACUUGAAAGUUGUUUCUCAUCAAAGGUACUGGUGUUUAGUUAGUCUAUGGCUCUUGAGGGACAUAGGUUUUACACAUGAUAAUAGAUAAAAUAAUAUGAUUACCUUUUCAAACAUUUAAUGCUAAUUAUCCCCCUCUCCUCCUCUCCUGUAAUAUCUCUCUUCUUUCCCCCAUUAAAGAUCCACCUUGUUCUUUUCAUUUUCUUCUUCAACUGUAUCUUAAUUACUCCUUUCUAGAGCUCCUUUCAAACCUCCAUGAUCCCUUUUUACUUUCCUAGUUUCUGCAGUUACUCACAUCUGAGGAUUUGGGGCUAUGAAUGAUACAUGAGAAAGAACAUGAAAAACUUGUUUUUCUGGACCUGUGUUACCUCACUUAAUACUAUUUUUCAGGUGCAUUGGUUUACCUGCAAAUUUGGCGAUUCAUUUUUUAUUUUUUUACAGUUGAAUAAUAUUCCAUUUUUAUAUGUACCGUAUUUUACUUAUUUAUCCAUCAGUUAAUGGACAUUUAGGGUGUUUCCUCCUCCUUGCUAUUGUGAACGGAGUGGCAAUGAACAUGGAAUCUAAGAUUUUUUUGAGAUCCUAUAUUUAUGACACUGUGACCAAAAUACUUCCCUACUCAGUCAUAGCCUAGGAAGUGUCAUGAAUGUAGGAAGGAUUUCCUUCCUACAGGUCAUCACAGUUGAAGUUAUAUCAUGAAGAACUGUUACCCUUCAGAUAGUUCCCAUAUUAAAGGAGAGGGGAAGAGCAGUCCGAAGUCUUGAAAUCUACCAGACAUCUCUACACUUUGGUUUUUAGAAUAUCAUAUUGGACAUGCUUAUAUUGGACCUCUAUUUAUACUAAGGGAAUUUGGAUGAAAACAAAAAUUUAAACACAUAACAAACUUACAAAAAAUGAAGAAGAGUAUUAGACAACAUGUGAAAUUUGUAGCCAUUUGCUUUAUCCAGCCUACUGGCUACUGAGAAUUGUAAAUGUGUUGGCUACUGGCUACUGUGUACUGGAAUACUGUUUCCAAUAGACUGGAAAGAUGGCUGAAUAGAUGGGAUACUCUGUAAGGAUAAAAUGCUCUUUAGAAUCUAACAACUUACUAAGACAGAAGUGUGAAAUAAUAUAAUUCAUCAAGUUAAAUAUUAAUGAUGGUAUUAAAAGUGGUGAAUGGUACAACAUUAGUAUUUUUGAUAUAUUUAAAGUUGCAAUUUUAGAGUUAGUAUGUUUUAUUCAUAUUUAUUUAAUUUUUAUUUCAUUUUGAAAUAGAAUCUCAUAAAGCACAGGCUAGCUUUGAGGUCACUUUGUAGGCAACAAUAAUCUUGAACUUCUGGUCUUCUUCCUACCUUUACCAUUUGAGUGCUUUGAUUAUAUGUACACACACACACACACACACACACACACACACACACACACACACACACACCUAGUUUCAUGUUGGGCUUUGAACCCAGGGCUUUGUGAAUGCUGGACAAGCACUCUACCAACUGAGCUACAUCACCAGGUCAGUUUUGCUUUUGUUCUAAAAUGUGGCUUCUAAUAUGUACUUAUAAGUAAAUACGUGCCAUGUUUUUCUUUCAGGGUCUAGUUUACCUUACCCAGGAUGAUUUUUUUUUCCAGUUACAUCCAUUUGCCUGUAAAUGCCAUGAUGCCAUUAAAAAAAAAAGCUGAGUAAUACUCUAUUGUGCAAAUGUACCACAUUUUAAAAUUCUUUUCUCAUAUAUUACAUCUCAAUCACAGUUUUCCCUCCCACCCCUUCUCCUAGUUUCUCUAGCCACUAUCCUCUCCCCCAGAAGGAAACCAACCAAACAUGAUAUAACAAGCAAUAAUAAAAACAGGCACAUACUGUCACAUCAAGACUGGACAAGGCCACCAAGUGGGAGGAAAAAAGGGUCCCACAAGUAGGCAAAAGAGUUAAGGACAACACCUGCUGCCACUGUUAGAAGUCCCACAAGAACACCAAGCUGCUCACCCACGGCAUAUGCUGAAGUCUAGCUCAUCCCCCUACAGGUCCUUUGAUCUCUGACUCCCCAUGAGUCUCAGUCAGUUGAAUUUGUAAGCCAUAUUCCCUUGAUAUGUCCCUGACCCCUCUGUUUUCUCGGAUUCUUCCUCCCCUUCCUGCACAGGAUUCCCUGUGCUGCACCUUAUGUUUAGGUGCCCAUCACAUUUUCUUUAUUCAUUCUUUUGUUGAAGGACAUCUAGAUUGUUUAAGUUUUGGGCAAUUAUGAAUAAAGUAGCAAUGACCAUGACUAGGCCAGUGACCUUCUGGUAGGAUGGAUCCUCCUUUGGGUAUAUAUGCAGGAGCGGUAUUGCUGACUCCUGAGGUAGAUCAGUUCUCAGUUUUCUGAGAAACUGCCAUAUUGAUUUCUGAAGUGGCUAUAUAAGUUUGCACUCCCACCAGCAAUAGAGGAGAGUUCCCCUCGCUCUACAUCCUUGCCAGCAUGAGCUGUCACUUGUAUUUUUGAUCUUAGCCAUUCUGACAAGUAUAAGAUGGAUUUUUAGAGUUGUUUGAUUUGUAUUUUAAUGAUGGCCAAGAGUGGUGAACAUUUCUUUAAGUGUUUCUUGGCCUUUAGAGAUCCCUCUGUUGAGAAUUCUGUUUAGAUCUGUACCCGAUUCUUUUAAUUGAAUUGUUUAGUUUAUGUCUUAUUUCUUGACUUCUUCAUAUAUUUUGAAUAUUAGGCCUGUGUCACAUCUGAAGUUGGUGAAAAUCUUUUCCCAGUCUGUAGACUGCCAUUUUUGUCAUAUUGAUGAUGGCAUACUUUGCCUUACAGGAGCUUUUCAGUUUCCUGAGGUUAUAAUUAUUAAUUGUUAAUUUUAGUGGCUGCAUUACUGGUGUUCUGCUAAGAAAAUUGUUUCUUGUACCCAUGCAUGUCAAAGCUAUUUCUCACUUUCUCUUCUAUUAGGUUCUGAGUACCUGGUUUUAUGUUGAGGUCUUUGAUCCACUUACCUGAGUUUUAUGCAGGGUUUUAGAUAUAAAGAGUCAAUAAAAUGAUUCCUAAUGAUAUUCUGUUAUACAUGUAGGCUAUAGAGCCUAGCAUAAUCAUCAUCAGAGAGCCUUUCUUUCAGCAACUGAUAGGAGUAGAUGCAGAGACCCACAGGCAAGCAUUAAAUAAAUAGAGCCUGGGAAAUCCCAAGAAAGGAGGAGGAGGAACAGAAGCCAUCCACAGUUUCAUUCCAUUGAGCUGACCCAGAAUGCUUCAAAGUCAUCCAGAGGUGAUGUAGUAGGCUACCAAUUUACAGCAACAAAAAGAAUGGAAAUCAAUUUCCAAGAACCCAGUCCUCUCAUUUGGGUCAGAAAAUUCUCUAUUGUAAUAGAUAUCCAGUGUUUCAUAAAUUAUUUAGUAUUGUCCCCAAAGUCUACAUAUCAGUGAGAAACACCACUAUAUAAACCUACAAUGACCCAGGGUAAGAGAAUAUGAACAUCGUAUGUCAAUACAUUUGAUGCCCAAGACAAAAUGUCAAAGUUCAACAAAAGUUCAGACAUUAUAAUUAAUCAAAGAGGAAACAGAAACUUUGACUCCACUGGUGUUAAUAAAAGAUAUUGUAUAAAAUUACAUUUAGGUCAUGUGUAGAUGAAACAUGAGUUGUAUACAUGGCCUUGAUUUUUAUUCCUGAGAUACUUCAUGCUAGACCUGCAAGCUUUACAGUAGGAAAACAAAUCCCAAAGAUGAAAGCAGUCUGGCCCCUCCCAAGUCUUUCAUGCCACCGGCAUACAGAUGUAACUUCUGUGAUUCAUGUACUGAUAACUCAUCCAUGACAUAUAUUUAAAUUAUAAAAACAUACAUUCUAUAAAGCACUUGCAUACAUACUAUCAAAACAUAUUUUAAUAUAUUUACAGUGCUGUAAUGUGUUGUAUUAAAAUGCUGAGUUCAUAAUGUACUAUAAGUGUGAACUGCCUGGUUUUUAAAGCACCAAGUUAUAGUAAUAGAUAAUAAAACUUGCUGUCAAAAUGUAAACAUUUGUUUGAGGAUACAGAAUAUAUCUUACGACCAGCUAUAAUCACAAAUAUUCAUUUUGACCACAUUAGGAAACUUCAAAUUGCUAGAAAAAAUAAAAUAAAUAAACGUCUGGUUGAUGGGACAUCACACCUUCAGGCUUUUACUGUAAUUUGUUCCACAGGCCAAAGCCAGCAUUGUCAAAACACUGCAGGUAAUACUACGGAUUCCGUGUUGUUUUCUCUCCUGUAGUAUUAAAUGGAAUGCAAACACAGAAAAAUGCUCUUCACUCAUUCUCUCUCUCUCUUUCUCUUCUUUCUUUCUUUCUUUCUUUCUUUCUUUCUUUCUUUCUUUCUUUCUUUCUUUCUUUCUUUUGGAUGAGAAAGGAACAGCUCUUUGUGGGAAAUUAUUACCCUGAUGAUUGCAGUGUGAAUUUUCUUUAGCACUGAAUACUGGAACAAAGUGGUCACCAGUGAGUCCAGACAGAGAGCUGAUGUGUGCUAUGCACCACAAAUUUUUUUUUCUUUUUUGUAUAGCAUAAGAAGGUGGUGCAUGUUAGUGAGUUAGCUCUUUAGUGAAACAUGCAUUCUCUGUUCACUAAUAACUAUUAAUCCCACACAACAGUUGUCAGCAGUGAGUCACACACACACACACACACACACACACACACACACACACACACACACUGUAUUAUAUUACACAUUUUUUGUCAUCAUGCAGACUUUGUGUUUUCUCUAUCUGAUAGCUUCAAAAGUGCAUGCCAAAUUGUCAAAGGCUGUCAGAUUAUAAGGCAGUGUUCUGAUCUGGAGCUGAAGAGUGGCCUCCAGUUUCUGGCCUGUCUUGUAUGUCUCAGAAGCACGGAUUGUUAAACAGUCUGGGGAAACUGAAAGCAGCAAAUGUGCAAUAAAAUACCCCUUGUAGUUCAAGGCUGCAUGACAAAGGAGGCCAAGAAGCUUGGCUGUCCUCUGGCAUUCCAGGGUGGUUUACCUGAAGAAAGUCCUGUUGCCAGAUACAUAAAGAAAACAGAUGCAAUUUCACAAGUAAACUUCAGGAAGUGCAUUUAACGCCACUUUCUGCUGAAGCUCGAUGCUUUCUUAAAAUAUUUUGCUAUAAAAAAUAAAGGAAACAAGAGUGAUCUUUUGUUCCUUCUCUGCCCAAGGCUUUCAGCAUGGCCUUUAAAUGACCUCCCACUUGGAGAGCACUUAAAUUAAGGACCGAAUUGUGAGAUCUCCCUAAGAUCUCCCGGUGAUAAGCAUGCUUUGUUUAUGCCUCUCCCCCGCCCUGUGCUGUGUCCUGUUGGGAUAGUCACUGUUUCUUCUUUGCUUCUGAGUGUGCCAGAAAACUCCCAGGAGCUUAAGAUGUCUGUGACUCCCAGAGCCUCAUGUCUUCUGGGCAACCAUUGUACCCCAGAGUUGCAGUCUAACUCCCUCUUUUUCCUGAUAAAGUUCUUUCUUCCUCAAGAACUCUACUGUGGUCGGUCCAUGGGUCCCGGUAAACUUAUUGUUUUAAAAUGUCAUAUUUACUUAGAUCAAAUGAAAAGCCACUGUGUCGAAAAUGAGACAGAUAACUGUCUUAAAGAGAUUUCCUGUCUUUUCCUGCCAAGAACACUAUAUGUAUUUUACUCACAACAGGAAGUAAGGAUAAAUUUGACGCCUUCUAUUUUAUCUAAGAAAGCAUUUCUGGUGGUUUCGCCAUGUAAGAAAGGUAAAAAGGAUAAAGAUCCUUUAACUCUUCAGGGUCAGAACUAAUUUACAUUGAUAUGUUGUAGAAUUGUCUUCAUCUUCUAAUGUUGAAAUAUAGCCCUUAAUCAAAGAAAUACAAGGCAGGCGUCUACAGCAAGGUAAAGGGAUGGAGCCAUGAGGCCCUAAACUCAAAAUUAGGAAGGCACCAUGGAGAAGCCAGCCUAGCAAACGCUGAGACGAGAUGCUGCAAGCGUGCUUAUAUGGUGAGAAAAUCCAGCAUGGGGCUCUGCAAUUUAAGCUAGAUGAAGAAGUAGUUGAAUUACGGACUCUUAAAAGAUAUGCCUAAGAUCAAACAUUGGCUCCAAACUCCUUUUUUUCAAGUUCCUAUACCAAGUUCCGCAAAUUAAGUCAUUUAAUCCAACAGACAUAUAGUUUUGACAGUUCUGGAAGCCAGAAUCAAGGUAUGGACAAGGUUUGUUUUAUGGGAGCCAGUGAAAGAGAAGUGAUCAUAGCUUUCGUCUGGUUCCUAGUGUGUAUCAGCCAUUGUGAUGUUCUUCAGCUCAGAGACAUAGCACUCCAGUCCCUACCUCUGUCUUUACAUGGUAUCUGCUCCAUGGUGCAUCCUUUUCUGAUUCUUACAAAGAAACAUGUCAGUGCACUUAGACCUCCAUAAUCCAGGAUCAUCAAUACAUACCUAGACAAAAACUCUAUUUCAAACAGUAUCACAUGCUAAGGUUUUGAGUGGACACAUAUUUCACUGGACUAGUUUUCACCCAGCUGCGACAUAACAGGAAGUAACUGAUGCUGCAGAGGAGCGAAUGGACAUAAUAUAUGGUCUCACUCAGGGUGUCAGGCUCCAGCAGCGGUGAGAAGGGUUGAUCAUGUAGGGUAGAAUGCUCACGUACUUCAGUGUUUUAAGGAAGCUAAGUUCUUGCUGCCAGGGUAGGAAGUUGAUAUUUGGUACCUAGAUAAAAAGGGUUAGAGGGUCCCCAGAUACCAUCCUGGAGAUACUGAGAGGUGACUUUAUGGUAUGGUAACAAAAUGUAAAUGUGAAUGUGUAUUACUAACCUUGGCCUGUAGUGACCUGGGCACAGGCCAUGCAUCAACAAUAAGUGCUUAUUGUUGCUCUGUAGCAUGAAACAUAAAAAGCAAUCCACACCAGCUCCAGCUAGGUACCAGUCGGUGACCUCAGUCUGUCUCCAACCCAGCAGACAGGCUGAGACCACAUUCUUUCCUUUUAGCCAGGGCCUGUCUUACCCAGGCUGGCUCUGUCUUUCUGGAGCUCCAAAAUUGCUCUCUCCUCCCAGCUCACUAAGUUUCCAGGGUUGGCUGUUGCCACACAAACCCCACACUUCCAAAUUCCUGUGGGUGACUAGAGUGCACCUUUGCACACCAUGCCACUGCACUUUUCUCUGGAACCCAGUUGAGUUGCUGAGUAAAGGAAAACACCACACAUUCUUAGUUUAGAAUCAACAGGUAACACAAUUACCUGAAUGCUGAGUGCAGCAGCUAGCAUCCUAAUUUUACAAACUAUUCUAUUAGAAAUCCUCCAGUGGCAGAUCCUGGUGUAUCUGCCACUCAAUUGACAGUCCGGCUACUUAGAUUCUGUCUGCCUCCCUUGCUCCCACCAUUCAAAGGGCUAUCCGUUUUUCUUGCCUCUCUCUUCCUGCCUCCUCACACAAUGAUUGGUUGCUUGUAAUGUUUAUUUAUUAGGGGAAAAUUCUACCACAUUUCACCCUUUUUGUUCAACAACAACAAAGCUUUUCUCUCAAAUAUAAACUGAGUCAAACUAUUACCAUUCUGUAACUUAUAAAGUAUAAGAUACACCUAACAUCCAGUCCAUUGAGUCCAUAUCUACCCUAACUCAAAAAAAAAAGACUUAUAAUUCCAUAUCUGUUAUGACCCGGUUAGCUUGUAUACUAUCUGAAAACUAUCCUCUCGAAUAUGUUCUCUCAAUGCUAAGUAGCCUGGGUUGGCUGUGUGACUAUAACUAGUCUUCAACCCCAUCAGAAACAUGAGAACGACCAAUAUUAACUGCACAUAUAGGAAGCCUAACACGGCUUCCAGAACUGAGACAAACUGUAGAAACAGCUGCCUACCUGUACAGUCACAGUGUGUCAGAAAGUUGGAGCAUCAAUCUUCAGCCUUCUGGCUCAGGAUCAUCUGACAGACUUUUGAAACAGGAAAUAUCAAGGACGAGCUCAUUCUGUCUCAGCAGAACUAAGCUGUCCUAUCCUGUAAGUUGUAUGCUCUCCUGAACAGUACAGGUCUGUAGAAGAAAUAAGCCAUUUCUGCCCAGUGGCUACCAUGCCACAAUGUACAAUCUUGCCUGGAGGUAGGGAUGCUCAGUUUCUUCUUUGAAUCCACAAAUGCGGAGCUGUUAGAAGCAGAUAUGUCUCAACAACAAAUGAGGAAAUAACAUUAAAUGUCAACUCUGUGGAUUUCUGAUGUUUUGUUUUGAAAACUAUCUAUCUAUGUAAAGUAAUCUGGACCGUUGUCCUUUAACUACUCUCAGCUAUUUCUAAAUAAAAUAUCUUGCAAAUACCCUAGCAGUUAACUCAAAGCUAAGAAUUUGCUAUCUGGCUCUUAUUUCAUAUGCUUAGUGAAUUCAGAUCAGCUUAUAAUGGCAUUUAUAGAAGGACUGGGUCUAAGUUCUGUAUUUUAAAAAUUUUUGUAUCAAUAGAAGAAAUUUAUACCAAUGAAAACCUUGAUUUUUAUCAAAAAUUCUCUACCAAUGUAAGAAAUUAUAAUUUCAACUUAGUAACUAUUAAAAGAUUUCUACCAAAUGAGAUAGAUUAUGCCUACACAAUCAAUUCUAGCAUAUCCUAUUAAAUUCUGAUCAUUACUAAAUUCCACAGAAAGACAACAUUCGAAUAACUACUUCUAAUCUCCAAGCCCAGGGAACUGAAUGACAACUCUUCAUAACUUCUUCCUGCUGAAUAUGGGUGUUGAGAUAUUGAGGGAAGGGAUUAGGGGAAAUGAGGGAGUUGGUUGGCCUUAAGAAGGCAACACCAACAACUGUUAUAGUCUUUGAUGUCUGUGUCCUGACUGGAUCUGUCUGAAAGCCCAUGAGAUCAAGAGUUCGAGCAGGUCAGUUCAGCAUGUCUGACAAAGAAACUUACAAAAGCUGAACAUUCAGUAAUAUAAAAAUCUCAAAAUAAAAUUUUAGUAUCAUUAAGAUAUCUAUAUUGAUUGCAUUAGUCUGUGUAGGAUGUUCAGACUAGUUAGGAUGAAAUUCUGCUCCAAUCAUGUCUUGAUUUGUGCUAUAUGAGGGAUGGCUUCCAUGUCUUUGCAAGUCAGCUACUUGGAAAAUGCUGGAGGGCAGCGCUCGAAGUCUAAUGGAGAUUUUGGUUUUGUUUAGAACCUCAGUCUAUGGAGUGGAUCCACUCACAUUCAGAAUAGAUGUGCUCAAAUUAAUCCCCGGCCGAAAACCCCCUCAUGGAUUCAAAUAGAAGCAUACUUUAAUCUCUUAGGUGCUCCUAAAGAUAACCAGGUUGAUGAGGUUAGCCAAGGAUAGGGAAAAUAAUAUCAAAGAAACAACUCAGAACUGAGAGCCUCACAGAUAGGAAGAAAAGGAUAAAAAGGACUCUAUCAAAGCAGGGAAGUGAACUUUGGUGUAUAAUUCUGGAAUGGACCGAGAAUUUUGACCAGAAAAUGUGGUAUGAAAAUUGGUGUUACUUUGCUUAAGGAAUGCCUGGAGUAGAGAUGCUCAUUGUUUUUAGUUGCAGUAGUGGUGGAUGGGGAGGAAGAGAAAGUGAUGAGGAAGAGGGAAGGAGGGUGAGGCUACAUCUAUCACAAUGAUGAAAAAGGAAGGAUGACUGAAGAAGCCUUGAAAUUUCUACAUAGCUUUUGUACACUACUGGAAUAGAAAUUGUCUGAUUUCAUAUGCAGAAACCACCUGUCUAAUCAAGUUAUUUAAAUUUAUUUAUUUACAUUUCAAACUCUGCUCCUCAUCCUGGUACCCUUGCCCUACAGAGUUCCUCCCUGAACCCCCUUCCUCCUUUGAGAGGGUGAGACUCCAUGGGGUUCCCCCACCCCAGCACAUCAAAUCUCUGCCAGAUUAAGCACAUUCUCUCCCACUGAGGCUAGACAAGGCAGCCAUACUAAGAUUAAGCUGCAUGUUUGCUACAAAUGUGUUGGAGGCCCUUGUUGUACUCAAUGUAUGUUCUUUAGUUGGUGACUUUGUCUCUGAGACCUCCCUGGGGUCCAGGUUACUUGACUCUAUUGGUCUUCUUGUGGGGUUCCCAUACCAUUUGGGGACUUCAAUCCUUUCCCCAAAUGUUCCACAAGAGUUUCUGACCUCUGCUCAAUAUUUGGCUGUUGGUAUCUACACCGUUUUCAGUCUGCGGCUGUGUAGAGCCUCUCAGAGGACACUUAUUCUAGGUUCCUGUCUGCAAGCAUAACAGAAUAUCAUUAAUAAUGUCAGGGAUUGGUGCUUGCCCAUGGGAUACAGAAACCACCUGUCUAAUCAAGUUAUUUAAAACUUAUGUUAUUUUCUUUUUAGUCAUUAGAGAACCUAAAAUGUACUUUGUCAGGAAGCCCAACACUGGAGACCCAGAAAUCAUGAAAUUGAAAUGUUUUCAUGAAAGUGAAUGGCUCCUUCCAACAACUAUGAAGAUGGAUGAGUAUGAGAAGUCAGGACUGGAUUACCCCAACAUGGGAGAGCUGGGAUAUUUUUAUUGAGCUUGAGAACUGGAGGACACCAUGGAAAGCAUGCCAAAACCCUUUUAUGAUGCCAGUUUGGAAGGCUGAAACCUCAUACCAUUCUUCAAGGGAAUAAUAACUCCAGCUUAAUAUCUGUACAUCUCUGUAGACAUGUUCAUUGAAUUCAGUUCUCAUGGGUACAUUCAGAAAAGUCUUCUGGGUCUCCUCACACAUUCACGCUGCAAGCCAGUUACAGGGAUUGUGCCCAUGCAUACACAGGUCAUCAUUUCAUUCAUGCAACUAAGUACAGCAUGAAGCACAACUGCAUCAGAGAUAUAUCUAGAAAAGUAGUUCCAAAUCUGCCACAAAGACAUUGUUCUCAAGUCAUCUCAUGUUGUUUAAUUAACUGUAGGAUUGUCUCUUUGAGCAUAUCACCAAAGCUUCAUCCUCUGAUUUCACUGAGCCCAUCAUGUAAGAGCCAAGUCAUUAUUAGUCUAACCAAGGUGAUGAGAAAGUUGGGCAUGCAGGGGUGUGUUACUCAGUCAUUGUCACUGUGACAAAUAACCUGAGGGUAGAACAUUAAAAAUACUUGUUUUAGUUUAUGGAUGCAUAUGUUUUGGUCCAAAAUAGUGUGGAAAGUAUAGGGGAAUAGAAUAAGUCACAUCAUGGUAACCAUGGAGCAGAGACAAUGCCUGAGCUUGCAAGAUUCUUCCUUCUUCUGCCUUGAUUCUCUUCAGACCCCCAACCUAUGGAGUGGCUCCAUUCACAUUCAGGGAACCCAUAUGCACAAAUUAGUCUUCCUGGGAAUUGCCUUAUGAAUACAAAUAGAAGUGUACUUUAUUGAUUGUUUAGGUGCACCUAAAGCCAAUCAGGUUGACAGGGUUAGUUAUGAAUAGGAAAAGUAACACCAAAAAAGGAACUCAGAGCCGAGAGUCUAACAAAGAUGAAGGAAAAAAUUAAAUAAAACCCCCUAAUAUCAUCUUUUGUUCCAAAGAGAGAGUCAUAGUCAAGAGAAGACUGAAGAGAGAGUCAUAGUCAAGAGAAGACUGAGGGGCAGACAAGUCUGGGAAGCCAGAAGAGACUACACUCUACAGAAAUGCCCACAUUUCUGACUCCAGAGGAAAAUAUCUAAGGCCAUCUGGGACCCCGGUGCAUGGGUGGUCCUGGGUAAAGGCAGUACAGGCACUCCUGGUUGCCGCCCUCACUGAAAGCUUAAAAGCAGCCCUCCAUGAGCAACUUGAGCCGUGGGACCACAGGUAAGACCAACUUUUCUGCUCCAAGCGACCUGCCUGGUGGAGUCAGGACACACAGAGGCAAAAUUCCUCAGGGACCAGACACUUCCUGUUUUUAGCUGGAGCCGGAACCUUGCUGAUCCUGGCCCACAGCUCACUGCUCCCAAACCCCAUGGGAGAGAGAGCUCCCUGCCUAGACAGGUGGGCACUCCUGAGAUUGCAGAGCAGGAGAGGCCACCAAUACUGCCCACCCCUGCCCACAUCCCUGGCCCAAGUGGAAACUGUAUACGGCCUCUAGGAACCGGAAGAUAGGGGCAAUCAAGUGGCAGAUCCCCUGCGAUGCAGACACCGCCUGGACCUGAAGGGACCCGAUCAACAGCUCCCUGCACACAAAUCCUAUGGGAGGGAGAGCUAAACCUUAGGAGGGGCAGACACACCUGGGAAGCCAGAAGAGACUACACUCUGCCCACAUUUCUGACACUAGAGGAAAACGCCUAGUGCCAUCUGGGCCCCUGUGCACAGGGUCCCAAGGGAAGGCGGGGCAGGCCCUUCUGGUUGCUGCCCUCACAGAGAGCUGACACCCAGCUCUGAGAAGUGACUCAAGGCCCGAGACCAGAGGUAAGACCAACUUUUCUACUCCAAGUGACCUGCCUGGUGUACUUAGCACACACACCCAUAGGAACACCUGAAGAGCAGAAGACAGGAACGAAUACAUGCCUGAAAAAAGAACACUCUGUUCUCAUAACUGGCUGAAAGAAAACAGGAAAACAGGUCUAUAGCACUCCUGACACAGGCCUAUAGCAUGGUCUAACCACUGUCAGAAAUAGCAGAACAAGGUAACACCAGAGACAACCUGAUGUCGAGAGGCAAGCACAGGAACCCAAGCAACAGAAACCAAGACUACAUGGCACCAUUGGAGCCCAAUUCUCCCACCAAAGCAAACACUUAAUAUCCAAACACACCAGAAAAGUAAGAUCCAGACUUAAAAUCACAUUUGAUCAGGAUGAUGGAGGACUGUAAGAAAGACAUAAAGAACUCCCUUAGAGAAACGCAGGAAAACAUAAAUAAACAAGUAGAACACUACAGAGAGGAAUCACAAAAAUCCCUGAAAGAAUUCCAGGAAAACACAAUCAAACAGGUGAAGGAAUUAAGAAUGAUUUCCAUAGCAAUCAUGAAGCAAUAAAGAAAGCACAAAGGGAGACAACCCUAGAUAUAGAAAACCAAAGGAAGAGACAAGGAGCCAUAGAUACAAGCAUCACCAACAGAAUACAAGAGAUAGAAGAGAAAAUCUCAGGAGAUUUUAAUUCAUCUUAAAAAAAAAUCUUUGGAGAAGAGACUACACUCUGCCCACAUUUCUGACGCCAGAGGAAAACACCAAACACCAUCUGGGACCUCGGUGCACUGGGGCUCCCAGAAAGGGCGGCGCAGGCCCUCCUGGUUGCUGCCCUAGUGGAGAGCUCAUAAGCAACACCCCACGAGCAAACUUGAGCCUCGGGACCACAGGUAAGACCAACCUUUCUGCUCCAAACGACGUGACUGGUGGUCUCAGGACACACAAAGGCAAAAUUCCUCUAGGACCAGACACUUCCGGUUUUUAGUUGGAUUCCAAACUUCACUGAACCUUGCCUGCAGCUCACUGCUCCCGAACCCCGUGGGAGAGAAAGCUCACCACCCGGACAGGUGGGCACUCCUGAGACUGCAGAGCGGCAGAGACCACCAAUACUGCCCACCCCUGCCCACAUCCCUGGCCCAAGAGGAAACUGUAUAUAGCCUCUGGGAAACAGUAGAUAGGUGCACUGGAGCUGCAGACCCCCUGCGCCCGAGACACCUCCAAAACCUAAAGGGACUGGAUUAACAGCUCUCUGCACCCAAAUCCAGUGGGAGGGAGAGCUAAACAUUCAGAGAGGCAGACAAGCCUGGGAAGCCAGAAGAGACUACACUCGGCCCACAUUUCUGACUCACAGGAACCCACAGGAACUCCUCAGGCCCACAGGAACAGCUGAAGACCUGUAGACAGGAAAAACUACAUGCCCGAAAGCAGAACACUCUGUUCCCAUAAGUGGCUGAAAGAAAACAGGAAAACAGGUGUACAACACUCCUGUCACACAGGCUUGUAGGACAGUCUAGCCACUAUCAGAAAUAGCAGAACAAAGUAACACCAGAGAUAAUCUGCUGGCGAGGGGCAAGCACAGGAACCCAAGCAACAGAAACCAAGACUACAUGGCAUCAUCAGAGCCCAAUUCUCCCACCAAAGAAAACACUGAAUAUCCAAACACACCAGAAAAGCAAGAUCUAGAUUUAAAAUCAUAUUUGAUCAUGAUGCUGGAGGACUUCAAGAAAGACAUGAAGAACUCCCUUAGAGAAACGCAGGAAAACAUAAAUAAACAAGUAGAAGCCUAUAGAGAGGAAUCACAAAAAUCCCUGAAAGAAUUCCAGGAAAACACAAUAAAACAAUGGAAGGAAUUAAAAAUGGAAAUAGAAGCAAUCAAGAAAGAACACAGGGAAACAACCCUGGAUAUAGAAAACCAAAGGAAGAGACAAGGAGCCUUAGAUACAAGCAUCACCAACAGAAUACAAGAGAUAGAAGAGAGAAUCUCAGGAGCAGAAGAUUCCAUAGAAAUCAUCGACACAACUGUCAAAGAUAAUGUAAAACAGAAAAAGCUACUGGUUCAAAACAUACAGGAAAUCCAGGACUCAAUGAGAAGAUCAAACCUAAGGAUAAUAGGUAUAGAAGAGAGUGAAGACACCCAGCUCAAAGGACUAGUAAAUAUCUUCAACAAAAUCAUAGAAGAAAACUUCUCUAACCUAAAGAAAGAGAUGCCCAUAAGCAUACAAGAAGACUACAGAACUACAAAUAGAUUGGACCAGAAAAGAAACUCCUCCCAUCACGUAAUAGUCAAAACACCAAAUGCAGAAAACAAAGAAAGAAUAUUAAAAGUAGUAAGGGAAAAAGGCCAAGUAACAUAUAAAAGCAGACCUAUCAGAAUCACACCAUAUUUCUCACCAGAGACUAUGAAAGCCAGAAGAUCCUAGAUAGAUGUCAUACAGACCCUAAGAGAACACAAAUGCCAGCCCAGGUUACUGUAUCCUGCAAAACUCUCAAUUAACAUAGAUGGAGAAACCAAGAUAUUCCAUGACAAAACCAAAUUUACACAAUAUCUUUCUACAAAUCCAGCCCUACGAAGGAUAAUAAAUGGUAAAGUCCAACAUAAGGAGGCAAGCUACACCCUAGAAAAAGCAAGAAACUAAUCGUCUUGGCAACAAAACAAAGAGAAGAAAAGCACACAAACAUAAUCUCACAUCCAAAUAUGAAUAUAACAGGAAGCAAUAAUCACUAUUCCUUAAUAUCUCUCAACAUCAAUGGUCUCAACUCUCCAAUAAAAAGACAUAGAUUAACAAACUAGAUGGGCCAUGAGGACCCUGCAUUCUUCUGCCUACAGGAAACACACCUCAGAGAAAAAGACAGACACUACCUCAGAAUGAAAGGUUGGAAAACAACUUUCCAAACAAAUGGUCUGAAGAAGCAAGCUGGAGUAGCCAUUCUAAUAUCGAAUAAAAUCGAUUUUCAACCAAAAGAUAUCAAAAAAGAUAAGGAAGGACACUUCAUAUUCAUCAGAGGAAAAAUCGAACAAGAUGAACUCUCAAUCCUAAAUAUCUAUGCUCCAAAUACAUGGGCAACUACAUAUAUAAAAGAAAUUUUACUAAAGCACAAAGCACACAUUACACCUCACACAAUAAUAGUAGGAGAUUUCAACACCCCACUCUUAUCAAUGGACAGAUCACGGAAACUGAAAUAAAGCAGAGUCAUAGACAGCCUAAGAGAAGUCAUGAACGAAAUGGACUUAACAGAUAUUUACAGAACACUCUAUCCUAAAACAAUAGGAUAUGACUUCUUCUCACUACCUCAUGGUACUAUCUCCAAAAUUCACCAUAUUAUUGGUCAUAAAACAGGCCUCAAUAGAUACAGAAAGAUUGAAAUAAUCCCAUGCGUCCUAUCAGACCACCACUGGCUAAAACGGGUCUUCAACAACAAUAAGGGAAGAAUGCCCACAUAUACAUGGAAAUUUAACAAUGUUCUACUCAAUGAUAAACUGGUCAAGGAAGAAAUAAAGAAAGAAAUUAAAGACUUCUUAGAAUUUAAUGAAAAUGAAGGUACAAUAUACCCAAACUUAUGGGACACAAUGAAAGCUGUGCUAAGAGGAAAACUCAUAGCUCUGAGUGCCUGCAGAAAGAAACAAGAGAGAAUAUGUCACCAGCUUGACAGCACACAUAAAAGCCCUAGAACAAAAAGAAGCAAAUACACCCAGGAGGAGUAGAAGGCAGGAAAUAAUCAAACUGACAGCUGAAAUCAAGCAAGUAGAAACCAAAAGGACUAUACAAAGAAUCAACAGAAACAAAAGUUGAUUCUUUGAGAAAAUCAACAUGAUAGAUAAACCCUUAGUCAGAAUAACCAGAGGACACAGAGUGUGUGUCCAGAGUAACAAAACCAGAAAUGAAAAGGGAGACAUCACUACAGAAUCAGAGGAAAUUCAAAAAAAUCAUCAGAUCCUAUUACAAAAGCCUACAUUUCAACAAAACUUGAAAAUCUGGAGGAAAUGGACAAUUUCCUAGACAGAUACCAGGUACCAAAGUUAAAUCAGGAACAGAUAAACCAUUUAAACAACCCCACAACUCCUAAAGAAAUAGAAGCAGUCAUUAAAAGUCUCCCAACCAAAAAGAGCCCAGGUCCAAAUGGGUUUAGUGCAGAAUUCUAUGAGACCUUCAUCGAAAACCUCAUACCAAUACUAUCCAAACUAUUCCACAAAAUUGAAACAGAUGGAACAUUACUGAAUUCCUUCAAUGAAGCCACAAUUACUUUUAUACCAAAAGCACACAAAGACACAACAAAGAAAGAGAACUUCAGACCAAUUUCCCUUAUGAAUAUCGACGCAAAAAUACUCAAUAAAAUUCUGGCAAACCGAAUCCAAGAGCACAUCAAAACAAUCAUCCAUCAUGAUCAAGUAGGCUUCAUCCCAGGCAUGCAGGGAUGGUUUAAUAUACGGAAAACCAUCAACGUGAUCCAUUAUAUAAACAAACUGAAAGAACAAAACCACAUGAUCAUUUCAUUAGAUGCUAAGAAAGCACUUGUCAAAAUUAAACACCCCAUCAUGAUAAAAGUCCUGGAAAGAAUAGGAAUUCAAGGCCCAUACCUAAACAUAGUAAAAGCCAUAUAGAGCAAACCAGCAGUUAACAUUAAACUAAAUAGAGAGAAACUUGAAGCAAUCCCACUAAAAUCAGGGACUAGACAAGGGUGCCCAUUUCUCCCUACUUAUUCAGUAUUGUUCUUCAAGUUCUAGUUAGAGCAAUAAGACAUCAAAAGGAGAUCAAAGGGAUACAGAAUGGAAAAGUAGUCAAAAUAUCACUAUUUGCAGAUGAUAUGAUAGUAUAUUUAAGUGAUCCCAAAAGUUCUACCAGGAACUACUAAACCUGAUAAACACCUUCAGCAAAGUGGCUGGGUUUAAAUCAGUAGUCUUCCUCUAUACAAAAGAGAAACAAGCCGAUAAAGAAAUUAGGGAAAUGACACCCUUCAUAAUAGUCCCAAAUAAUAUAAAAUACUUCGGUGUGUCUUUAACCAAGCAAGUGAAAGAUCUUCAAGCCUCUGAAGAAAGAAAUUGAAGAUCUCAGAAGAUGGAAAGAUCUCCCAUGCCCAUGGAUUGGCAGGAUUAAAAUGGUAAAAAUAUAGCCAUUUUACCAAAAGUGAUCUACAGAUUCAAUGCAAUCCCCAUCAAAAUGCCAAUCCAAUUCUUCAGAGAGUUAGACAGAACAAUUUUCAAAUUCAUCUGGAAUAACAAAAAACCCAGGAUAGCUAAAACUAACCUCAACAAUAAAAGGACUUCCGGGGGAACUACUCUCCCUGAACUCAAGUAGUAUUACAGAGCAAUAGUGAUAAAAACUGCAUGGUAUUGGUACAGAGACAGACAGAUAGACCAGUGGAAUAGAACUGAAGACCCAGAAAUGAACCCACACACCUAUGGUCACUUGCUUUUUGACAAAGGUGCCAAAACCAUCAAAUGGAAAAAAGAUAGCAUUUUCAGCAAAUGGUGCUGGUUCAACUGGAGGUCAUCAUGUAGAAGAAUGCAGAUCGAUCCAUGCUUAUCACCCUGUACAAACCUUAAGUCCAAGUGGAUCAAGGACCUCCACAUCAAACAAGAUACACUAAAACUAAUAGAAGUUAAAGUGGUGAAGAAUCUCAAACACAUGGGCACUGGAGAAAAUUUCCUGAAAAAAAAACACCAGGGGCUUAUGCUCUGAGAUCAAGAAUCGACAAAUGGGAUCUCAUAAAACUGCAAAGCUUCUGUAAGGCAAAGGACACUGUUGCUAGGACAAAACGGCAACCAACAGAUUGGGAAAAGAUCUUUACCAAUCCUACAACUGAUAGAGGGCUUAUAUCCAAAAUAUACAAAGAACUCAAGAAGUUAGACCGCAGGGAGACAAAAUAACCCUAUUAAAAAUGGGGUUCAGAGCUAAACAAAGAAUUCACAGCUGAGGAAUGGCAAGUGGCUGAGAAACACCUAGAGAAAUGUUCAACAUCUUUAGUCAUAAGGGAAAUGCAAAUCAAAACAACCCGGAGAUUCUACUUCACACCAGUGAGAAUGGCUAAGAUCAAAAACUCAGGUGACAGGAGAUGUUGGCGAGGAUGUGGAGAAAGAGGGGCACUCCAUUGUUGGUGGGAUUGCAGUCUGGUACAACCAUUCUGGAAAUCAGUCUGGAGGUUCCUCAGAAAAUUGGACAUUGAACUACCUGAGGACCCACAUAUACCUCUCUUGGGCAUGUACCCAAAAGAUGCCCCAACAUAUAACAAAGACACAUGCUCCACUCUGUUCAUAGCAGCCUUAUUUAUAAUAGCCAGCAGCUGGAAAGAACCCAGAUGCCCUUCAACAGAGGAAUCGAUACAGAAAAUGUGGUUAAUCUUCACAAUGGAAUAUUACUCAGCUAUCAGAAACAAUGACUUUAUGAAAUUCAUAGGCAAAUGGAUGCAACUUGAAAAUAUCACCCUGAGUGAGGCAACCCAAUCCCAGAAAAACACACCUGGUAUGCACUCAUUGAUAAUUGGUUAUUAGCCCAAAUGCUUGAAUUACCCUAGAUGCACAGAACACAUGAAACUCAAGAAGGAUGACCAAAAUGGGAAUGCUUCACUCCUUCUUUGAAUGGGGAACAAGAAUACCCUUGGCAGCGAAUAGGGUGGCGAAGAUUAAAACAGAGGCAGAAGGAACACCCAUUCAGAGCCUGCCCCACAUGUGGCCCAUACAUAUACAGCCACCCAAUUAGACAAGAUGGAUAAAGCAAAGAAGUGCUGGCGGACAGGAACUGGAUGUAGAUCUCUCCUGAGAGACACAGCCAGAAUACAGCAAAUACAGAGGCGAAUGCCACUGAACUGAGAAUGGGACCCCUGUUGAAGGAAUCAGAGAAAGGACUGAAAGAGUUUGAAGGGGCUCGAGACCCCAUAUGAACAACAAUUCCAACCAACCAGAGCUUCCAGGGACUAAGCCACUAUCCAAAGACUAUACAUGGACUGACCCUGGGCUCCAACCUCAUAGUUAGCAAUGAAUAGCCUAGUAAGAGCACCAGUGGAAGGGGAAGCCCUUGGUCCUGCCAAGACUGAAUCCCC
Non-coding RNA from Rattus norvegicus (Norway rat), 29005 nucleotides. The record is from RefSeq and is a predicted model, not a curated record. NCBI's taxonomy places the organism in Eukaryota, Metazoa, Chordata, Mammalia, Rodentia, Muridae.